Molecule: non-coding RNA, 114 nt
Organism: Acanthosepion pharaonis
Lineage: Eukaryota; Metazoa; Mollusca; Cephalopoda; Sepiida; Sepiidae
Source: the annotation of a GenBank genome assembly
UAUGGCCAUAUAGCAUUGAAACAUCGCUUCCCAUAUGAUGACCAAAGUUAAGCAACGUCGAGACUGGUCAGUACCUAGAUGGGUGAUUGCUUGGGAAUAAACAGGUGCUGUAAG